This 73-nucleotide transfer RNA is filed under the name Stutzerimonas stutzeri. Its description in RNAcentral is "Pseudomonas stutzeri tRNA-Ala". It matches the Rfam family "tRNA". From Rfam's summary of the family: Transfer RNA (tRNA) molecules are approximately 80 nucleotides in length. Lineage: Bacteria; Pseudomonadati; Pseudomonadota; Gammaproteobacteria; Pseudomonadales; Pseudomonadaceae. The record is from RNAcentral. RNAcentral also lists the same sequence under 3 other names.
GGGGCCAUAGCUCAGUUGGUAGAGCGCUUGAAUGGCAUUCAAGAGGUCAGGGGUUCGAUUCCCCUUGGCUCCA